Molecule: non-coding RNA, 493 nt
Organism: Ornithorhynchus anatinus (platypus)
Lineage: Eukaryota; Metazoa; Chordata; Mammalia; Monotremata; Ornithorhynchidae
Source: the annotation of a RefSeq genome assembly
AUUCUGGGGGGAAACAGUCCUGAGCUGGGAGACCUCCUAGUCCGUCCCCGACUCCGCCAUGGGCCCCGGAUCAGUGUGGUUGGUGGCCGUUUGUGUCCUGGGAGCAGGUCCCGUGGACGCCAGAGUCACCAAGACCCCCAGACACCUGGUCACUGGUCGGGGGCAGGACGUGACACUGAACUGUGAGCAUGACCAGAGCCACAAUGUCAUGCACUGGUACCGGCAGGACCCGGCACAGGAACCAAACCUCAUGUUUUACCUUCAAAAUCAGAAGCCUUCAGAAAACAUGACUGUCUCAUACUGCUUCCAACCGCGUUGUUGGAAGGCCGGUGACUGCACCCUGGCCAUCAGUACUGCAGAGCUGGGCGACUCCUCGGUGUUCCUGAGUGCCAGGAGUGCAGACACAGCGCUGCAGCCGCCCUGCCUAUCUGCACACAAACCCUCCAUGCCCUAAUAACAGUCCACGGAUGGGGGAUGGCGGGGGGACGCCCUC